RNAcentral lists this ribosomal RNA (468 nucleotides) under uncultured bacterium. RNAcentral's name for it is "partial 16S ribosomal RNA". It matches the Rfam family "Bacterial small subunit ribosomal RNA", at positions 28 to 507 of the family's 1533-position model. The record is from RNAcentral.
GACGAACGCUGGCGGCGUGCUUAACACAUGCAAGUCGAACGGAAAGGCCCUGCUUUUGUGGGGUGCUCGAGUGGCGAACGGGUGAGUAACACGUGAGUAACCUGCCCUUGACUUUGGGAUAACUUCAGGAAACUGGGGCUAAUACCGGAUAGGAGCUCCUGCUGCAUGGUGGGGGUUGGAAAGUUUCGGCGGUUGGGGAUGGACUCGCGGCUUAUCAGCUUGUUGGUGGGGUAGUGGCUUACUAAGGCUUUGACGGGUAGCCGGCCUGAGAGGGUGACCGGCCACAUUGGGACUGAGAUACGGCCCAGACUCCUACGGGAGGCAGCAGUGGGGAAUAUUGCACAAUGGGCGGAAGCCUGAUGCAGCAACGCCGCGUGCGGGAUGACGGCCUUCGGGUUGUAAACCGCUUUCGCCUGUGACGAAGCGCGAGUGACGGUAAUGGGUAAAGAAGCACCGGCUAACUACGUG